Molecule: small RNA, 17 nt
Filed under: Arabidopsis thaliana (thale cress)
Lineage: Eukaryota; Viridiplantae; Streptophyta; Magnoliopsida; Brassicales; Brassicaceae
Description: ATSL292550
Source: RNAcentral
GAUGAAAAAAACAUCUA